RNAcentral lists this ribosomal RNA (343 nucleotides) under Innesoconcha princeps. RNAcentral describes it as "partial large subunit ribosomal RNA". It matches the Rfam family "Bacterial large subunit ribosomal RNA", at positions 1817 to 2535 of the family's 2925-position model. Lineage: Eukaryota; Metazoa; Mollusca; Gastropoda; Stylommatophora; Euconulidae. The record is from RNAcentral.
AGUUUUAUGAAAUUUUAUAAAAUGAAACCUGCCCAAUGAAGAUUUAAUGGCCGCAGUACUUUAACUGUGCUAAGGUAGCAUAAUAAUUUGGCUUUUAAUUAAAGUCUGGUAUGAAAGGAUUAAUGGGUGAAAUCUGUCUUGUUUGACUUAAAAAAAAUUACUUAAGAGGUGAAAAUACCUCUGGAGAAUAAUUAGACGAGAAGACCCUAGGAGUUUUUGUUUUGUUGGGGCAACAUUUUAGUAAGGUAAUCUAUUUAUUAUAUUUAACGAAUAUAUUAAUUAUAAUUAAACUACCCUAGGGAUAACAGCAUAAUUUUUUUAAAGAUUGUGACCUCGAUGUUGG